UCAUAGAAAAAUUACUGUGCUCAGCACUACAAUCGACGUGUGAAAGCCGAACAUAGUCAAUUUUGUACGGCAAAAAUAUAAAAAUUAUAAUUAAUCAUAGAAAAUUUAAAGGAUAAAAUAUUCUUUCUUAAAAUUCAGCUUUGUAAAAUUUGUAAAACAGCACAGUAAAAAGUUCCAUUCCCGACAGAAAAAUAUUUUUUAAUUGUUUUUCUUACAAAAAUUACUAUUUAAGCUGCCAUAGAGUCCUAGACGAACUAAUAUAUUUUACCAUGCUGUCUUAUAAUUUUUCAAAUGCUAUCUGCUAAUAGUAGAAAGAAAGAAAGAGAAAGAAGGUAUCAACGCUGUUGAGCAUGAGAAUUAUUUUAAACAAAAAAAAUGAUAUCUCAUUAACUAUUAAUCGUAGAGAAGCCUAUAAGGGGUCAUUUUGUUCGUAAAGCGAUUUUCUAAAAAUUGUACGCAUUAUGUCUAGAUCUCGGAUUCAUAGUUUUCGAGAUAUUCUACUAUUAAGUUAAAACAACGUGCAUUCUGCUAUUAACAUAAGAAAGAAUCGAAGGUCGGAAAAGAUCGGGCAUCUUCGAAGUUUUUCGAAGCAGGUUUGAAUACGUUUAUUGUUCCUCAGUGCGUAAUUGACUGUGUUAUCAAUAGAGAGUGAUACAUUAUACAGUGACACAUAAAAGUGCGUCAUUUUGUAACGACUAAAAUGGAUUUACAAGGGCAUUUUGAACGUCCAGAAAUUAUCAACAACGUGAGUGUCAUUAACUUAUGAAAAACUGAAUGUUAUCGAUUGUACAACGAUCAGUAUACGUGGGAUGUACUAA
Chelonus insularis is the source of this 818-nucleotide long non-coding RNA. RefSeq lists it as uncharacterized. The record is from RefSeq and is a predicted model, not a curated record. The transcript has 3 exons. NCBI's taxonomy places the organism in Eukaryota, Metazoa, Arthropoda, Insecta, Hymenoptera, Braconidae.